CUUGAAAAUAAGUUAAUAAUUGUAUCUCAAAAUUUAUAGAAAAAUAAAGUAUAUUAGUUGUGAAAUAAUAUUAUCUAUUUUUUUAUUGGGAAUAUUAAAGUUCUACAUAAAACUGGGGUUAGUAGCCCAUUAUGAUUAAAUUAAAUUUUUUAAGGUAUUAAAAGAUUAAUCUCUAAACCUAAAUAACAUGGCAGUAUUUUACCCCUUGCAGAGGAACUUGAAUAUUAAUUAGAUACUCCUCUUUUAUUCUCACUUAAUUUUAUUUUGUGUGUGGUUGUUAAAAUAAAUAUUAAAUUAUAAGUUUUAAAUCAGAUGACAUGCAUAGAUAAUUAAGGUAAUUUUAGUUACAAUUGACAAGUUUAUUAAAGUUUAAAUAUAGGAUUUGCAAGUAUCAAAAAAAAGAAAUUGAGAAGAGGUUUUAAAAUGUGUACAUAUUGUCCGUCACUCUCAGAAAU
Molecule: ribosomal RNA, 455 nt
Filed under: Neocalanus flemingeri
Lineage: Eukaryota; Metazoa; Arthropoda; Copepoda; Calanoida; Calanidae
Description: partial 12S ribosomal RNA
Source: RNAcentral